UACGGAGGAUCCAAGCGGUAUCCGGAAUCAUUGGGUUUAAAGGGUCCGUAGGCGGUUUUUUAAGUCAGUGGUGAAAGCCCAUCGCUCAACGGUGGAACGGCCAUUGAUACUGCAAGACUUGAAUUAUUAGGAAGUAACUAGAAUAUGUAGUGUAGCGGUGAAAUGCUUAGAGAUUACAUGGAAUACCAAUUGCGAAGGCAGGUUACUACUAAUAUAUUGACGCUGAUGGACGAAAGCGUGGGGAGCGAACAGG
RNAcentral lists this ribosomal RNA (253 nucleotides) under uncultured bacterium. RNAcentral's name for it is "partial 16S ribosomal RNA". It matches the Rfam family "Bacterial small subunit ribosomal RNA", at positions 524 to 776 of the family's 1533-position model. The record is from RNAcentral.